CUCGUCGUGUGUUACCUUUUUGACCAGGAGGAGGAUACGGUGGAUCACAUUCUAUUGCAAUGUGUGCAUGCCCGUCAAGUGUGGUUCUUUUGUUUCCAUAGAGCGGGGAUUGGGCUCAAUAUCUUGCCGAUAGACCAUGAUCAACUAGAGGCAUGGUGGUCCACUUUGCGUAAACAGAUUCCGAAGGAGAACCACACGGGUUUCGACUCCUUCAUCAUGCUAAUAUGUUGGAGCAUAUGGAAACAACAAAAUGACAAAGUCUUUGGGAGAUCGGGCAAUGCGAGUGAAUGUGACCUUGUAGAGCCUAUAUCUGCCAGGAGAUGA
Molecule: ribosomal RNA, 324 nt
Filed under: Triticum aestivum (bread wheat)
Lineage: Eukaryota; Viridiplantae; Streptophyta; Magnoliopsida; Poales; Poaceae
Description: partial small subunit ribosomal RNA
Source: RNAcentral